UAUAGAGAGAGAGAGAGAGAGAGAGGGGUGUGGUAGUGCCGACACAAAUAAAGAGGAUUUGUAUCGAGACAAUAUCCAAAAAAGAAAUUCAAACAUCUCGCUUCAUACAUAUAAAUGGUAUGUUUUAUAAAAUAACUAAGAUAUUAUAACACAUGUAAGGUCAUAGUUUGUAGCACAUGCUGUGGUCCUCAAUAUUCCCCAUGCACUAGUAGAAUCAAUAAAUUUUUGGACCUAUAACAUUAACUCGUUGAUUUGAGGGUCAAAACACUACCCACAUCUAAAUCUCCACAUGUCACUCUCACAAUCAUUUAGAUGAUAAUGCUUCAAUUUUUUGGUUGAAAAAAAAAAAAUUUGUAAACCUAGGUAUUAAAUUAAAUUCAGUGAUUCUAAUAAGAAAAAAAAAAAAUAGAGAAUGACAAAAAUUAAGCUCCUUUUAUAGUAUUGCUCAAUUGCUGGCCUUUUCUUUGUUAUAUGAUCACUACCAUCAGUGUCCAAAUUAGAGAUGUCAAUGUGUCGGAUUCGGGGCGGAUUUUCAAUAAUUCGAAUCCGAACCCGACUCCAAACCCGAGAUCCAAACCCGAAUCCGAACCUAAACCUGAUAAAAAAUUCGAAAUCCGAACCCGAACCCGAACCCGAAAAUUCGAACCCGAAACAAUUAUUUCUUUUUUCAAUAUUUCAAAAUAUAUUACAUUAAAUCUAAAUUUUUAAAAUACAAAUUUAAAUAUAACAUCAAAUUUUUAUAUGUAUAUUAUAUAUAGUGCAAAAUAAAUUCAGGUUCAUGUCGGGUUCGGAUCGGGUACAGUCAAAAUCCAUAUCCUAAUCUAUAUUCGUCGGAUUUUUAUUUUUGAUAUCCAUAUCCAAAUUCAUAUCCAUUUAGCAUUGAAUAUAUCCAUUCCAUUCGAGUUCGGGUUCGGAUAAAAUUUUGAGUAUCCGACAUCCCUACUCCAAAUCUCUCCCCAUACUAUUCUUAAAUAUUUAGAUUUCUGGCAAUAUUUCAAAAUUGAUAUAUUUUUUAGCAUAUAAAUUAAACUGCAAAAAUUCUCUUACAAAGUUUGAAUUUAUAUAAACAAUUGUGAAAAUCCUAUUUGAGAACCGUUUGGUAGGUAUUAAGGGAAAUCUAAUGCUAUCAUGUCAAAAAGAAUUGGUUUCUUUAUUUUCCAAUAAAAUCGCAGAAAUAUUAAUACUUUAACUAAACCGUUGAUCUGAAAAGUGUAUUAUUUGUUACGAAAAUAAAUAAUGUAUUUUUCUAUUAUACUUUUGAGCCACACAUACAACACAAAUAUCCUGCAUUUCCAAAACAAAAGUAUUAGGUUGAAGGUCUCUAUGCGAAGAGUUCUAUUGUACAUUUGCUUCUGGUUUUGGCCAAAACAUAAAGUAUAUAUAUGCAGAGUUGCUAAAAGCCUAUUAAGUUUUAUAUACAUAACGUUAUGUUAACAUUUAUAUUCGACAAAACCAAACAUCAAGUAAAGACAAAUAUAAAUAGUAACAUCUUUUAAGGAAAAAAAAAAAGCAAAUAAUCCAUUCAUUUCGUUUGGAGAUAAACUCAACUAAAAAUAUUAUCAAACUAUCAAGUUCUUAACCAACUGUGUAAAGGAGGAAUCCAAUAUCGGAUAAGCGUCACCAAUUUGGACGUCUCAAAGCAUCUAACGUCGAAUGUUUGUUUCAUUUGAAUUACAUUUAAUCGUACUACCGACAACCACGUUUUCAAUAACUAUUUAAACUAUUGCAUGUCAAAAGUAUGUUCCAAAUAACAUCAAUUGCUUAUAUCAUUUUCAACGUGCAUGGAAUUAUGAAUUAUUCGAAUCUCUCUCUCAUUGAUUUCGAGAACUGUAGACGUAUCCAAUGCAUGUUAGGAAGUUUCACUAGAAAGUUUUGAUCCAGCUCAAAUUCACAUGCAUGUGCAUGAGUCAAAAGAUAUAAAAUAUCUAAAAGAAAAUCAAUAAGAUUCAAUCCAAAAGCUUAAAUCCACAACUAACUCAAUAGCUACAGAUGAUUCGGAUUCAUCAAACUAUCAACUUUGAUAUUGAUAAUUAGGUUUUUGUAAAUGUAACUCAAUUAAUUAAUCAUUUAAGUUUAAAUUUACUAUAAAUAAAAGUAAAUCCUAACAUAUAAAGGGAUGCUUGAUGUGGUAAGUUUUAUUUCUUUUUAUGUAUUUAAAUUAAAUAAAAUUCUAAUCAAACUUUAAUGAGAAGUCGAUCUGGAGUCUAAAUAAUAAGUGAAUUGUCACGCCCCAGAAAUGUCUCCAAUUCAAUUAACACUACAACAAAAACGGUCUAUAGCGACACUUUUAAGUGUAGAUACAUGUCAAAAAAGUGCUGCUAGCUAAAAUUACCGACACUUUUAAAAAGUGUUGCUAUAUGUGGGGUCGCUAGGUAUAUAGUGACAGUUAAAGAGUGUCGCUAUAACUUAAAAGAGUGCUGCUAAUUUACCAACAACUUAUUUAAGCAUUUAGCAACCGCCGAAACUCUAUCUCGUUGGCUGCGGUGGCGGAGGAGGAUGACAGGAAUAACUCUUCGUCUAGAAUUUCAGUAGAUUGAGUGAAGAGAGAAGAAAAUAUGGUAAUUGAUUUUUCUUUUUUUCUUUUUUUUCUUUUUUGUUUGUAAUCGGGCCAAAUGGACUGGGUGUGGUGGGUUGAGUAGAGUAAUCUUUUAUUUUUUGUUGGAUUGGGCUUUAUAUUUAGGCAUUAGUAGAUGUGUUUUUAAGUUUUAGCAUAAAUGGGACACUUACUCAAAAGUGUCCCAAACAUGUGUCCCUAUAACCUAAUUCUGUUGUAGUGUAAGGACUGUAGAAAUUAAAAUGCUGAUGCCCUGGAGGCCAAUAGACAGCGACAGAUAGCUAGUUUGAGACUAUAACUGUAUUCCGGAUGCUAUGAGAGUGUUAUCAUAAUCUGUUUGAUCACCAUAUUUAAUUAUAGUUGCUAAGAUUAUAUCAUAAAAAUCCAUCAAUUUCUACAAAAACUUAUAAAAAAUAAUGCAAUUUUUCCUAUUUGUUGAGAUCCAGUAUAUCAUAUGAAUUGUUGCUAGCAUCUUCUUAUAUGUAUUUUAGUAAAAUAUUAUCAUCUUUUUCAAUGAAAAAGUAUCUGAGAUAGGAAGAGAAAUCAGUUUGUCCAAAUUCGAAUAGUGACAUUCAUAUUAUAGUUGGAUUUUACACUUUCGCAGAUUGCUUAAUAAAUUCUCUUCUAUGGCACUCAUGUUCAUAUUGCAGUCAGAUUUUAAGCUUUCGUAGAUUGAUCAAAAUUUUCUCUUCUAUGACACUUUGCGAGAUUUAUUUUAUUCUAUUUAUCAUUCUGAAUAGGGAAAACUCCAAAUACCCCCCUUGUGGUUUCAUUCUUUCUCAAUUUAGUACCAUGUGGUUUAAAGUGUAUCAAAUUAGUAUCCUGUGGUUUUGCACUUUCUCACUUUAGUACCCUGUGGUUUCACAUUUUCUCAAUUUAGUGCCCCUGUGGUUUAAAAACCACAGGGUACUAACCUAAUACAAAAAUAAAACCACAUAGUAUUAACUUGAUAUACUUUAAACCACAGGGUACUAAAGUGAGAAAGUGCGAAACCACAGGGUACUAACUUUAUACACUUUAAACCACAUGGUACUAAAAUGAAAAAGUGCGAAACCACAGAGGUUUUUUUUGAAGUUUUCCCUUCUGAAUAUAUAUAUAUAUAUAUAUAUAUAUAUAUAUAUAUAUAUAUAUANUCAUUGGUGCUUGUAAGUUUUUAGCCCUUGGAUUAAGGAAUGUGCGGUUAUGAUGAUGUGGGCCCCUUAGGGUUGAGUGGGUGGUUGGUUGAAUAGUAUAAUCUAACGGAUGAAAAUGAUCCGAGGCGUAGAUCUAACGGUAAAAAAUUUACAAGCACCAAGUGCUUGGUUCUUUUACAAGCACCAUAGCCGGACUCUAUAUAUAUAUAUAUAUAUAUAAGUUGGAAUACUAUCAAUAACACCAAGCUAUUGGUGCUAUUAGGUUUUCGGCUCUUGAAGGAAAAAAUAUACAGUUAGAAUGAUGUGGGCCCUCUAAGGUUGAGUGAGUGGUUGGUUGAAUAGUAUAAUCUAACGGAUAAAAAUAAUGAGAGGGUUAAAUCUAACGGUGGAAAACUCGAUAGCACCAAAUCCUUAGUGCUAUCGAUAGUACCCCAGCCGGACACUCUCUCUCUCUCUCUCUCUCUCUCUCUCUCUCUAUAUAUAUAUAUAUAGUUUUAUUAUUUUUACAUGCCAAUUGAGAUCUAUCAUAACAAAAUAUGCCCAAGGAUGAAAACAAAAGGUUAAACCUAUUAUGCCUGGUUCAUUAAUAUAUAUCAAUCAUCUUCUUUCUUAACUAAUUAUUCGAUGUUGAAUACCGACCGUCCCUAGAGUAAGUGGCAAAGGGCUUGGUGGUUGGUACCCGAGACUCAAGUUUGAAUCCUACUUGAUUCACAUUUCUAGCUAAGUUUAUUUCUAAAUAAAAUAAACGAAGCGAGUAGCGUGCUACCUAUCUCUCUCAAAAAAUAAUAAUAAUAAUAAUUCGAUGUUGAAUUAUUUACACUAGGCUAGUAUACAUACUAUCGGUAGCACGAAGCCCUCCAUACUACCAAGUUAUUUUUAAUGAUGCGGCUUCCAAAUCGACAGUCGGCUCUAUUAGACUUGAUCUACACUAUUAAAAAUAUUUAGAAAGUAAAUUUAAUAAUUUUUAGACAUCAUUUGGCUAGUGAUCAAAAGGUCUCAAAAUUGACAAUUUUAAUGGUAGAUGUGAUGCAUUUGUGAGUUUAAUGGUAUAAAACAAUCAAAAUCUGAUGAUUUUUUUUUUUUUAGAGAGAGAUAGGUAACACGCUACCCACUUCAUUUAUUUCAUUUAGAAAUAAACUUAGCUGGAAAUGUGAAUCAACUAGGAUUCGAACUUGGGUCUCGGGUACCAACCACCAAGUCCUUUGCCACUUGCUCUAGGGAUGGUCGGUAUCUGAUGAAAUCUUUAUAGAAAAUUUUUUUCACUAUUUAGGGGCUGUUUGGUUGCAUGCAUUUCCAACUGCAUUGCAGUUGGAAAUGCGUAUUCAUCUAUAAUUUUUUUGUUUGGUUUGGUGUAGUUAGGCCCAACUGCUGCAAUUGCAUCUGCAUGAGAAGGUCCAACUGCAGCAGUUGAGCAGGAAUCGGCUUACUCAUUAAAAAUAUAAGCAAAGUGUGAUUUUUUUUUUUCAUACGCUAUUUUUUCUUUUUUCUUUUUUUCUCAAAAAUACGUAUUCAUGAAAUUUGAUAGGAUUUAGUAAUGCCUGUUAGGGUCAAUAAAUUUUUUUCAUAUGCUUCUUAUUUUUCAGUCUGCUAGUUUAAUAGUAUCUUAAUUUUUAUUUUGAUCAAAUUUAUAAUAUAUUUACAUUUAAAAUUUAUUAAAAUUCAUACAUAAUUUUAUAAUAUAUAAAUUAUAUAUAAAUAUAAAAGUCUUAAUUAAUAAUUAAAAUACGAUUACGUUAUGCUCAGAAGAGGUAAUCUCACAUUUCUAUCUAAAAAUUCAUAAAAUUUACAAAUACAAAUCUCAACUGCAGACUACCAAACAGAAGAAAUAUAACUGCAGCAGCUGCAACUGUAUAAAACCAAACAGACUAUGUAUAGUUAUGACUACAGCAUUUAAAACUACAUGUACUUCCAAUUACACUGUUUUUGAAACUACAUCCAACCAAACGGCCCCUUAGAGUAAGAUCAAUAUCUCUAACCAUAAAUUCAAGUCUUUUAUCAUCAUUUUUAUGAGAUUUUUUUUUCAGCCGUUCAUUUUUACACUAUUUGUUUGAUAGAUAAAUGAUGUCGAAAAAUUAUGAAAUUUAGUUUUUAAAUACUUUCAAUAGUAUAGAUCAAGUUUAACGGAGCCUAUCGUCGAAUUGGAAGCUACACCAUUGAAAAUAAUUUGGUCGCAGAGCGUUUCGUGCUACCGAUAAUAUACCAGUCUAACUCUUAUUUACACAAUGAAGUCCUAACAUAUGAUAAUACAGGAACAAUUUCAAAUAUGCACCUCAAAGGUUAUAAAAAAUCAUAUAUAUAUAUAUAUAUAUAUAUAUAUAUAUAUAUAUAUACAUAGAGAGAGAGAGAGAGAGAGAGAGAGAGUCCGGCUACUAUACUAUUGAUAGUACCAAGCCCUUGGUACUAUUGAGUUUUCUACCGUUAGAUCUAUCCUUUGAUCAUUUCCACCCGUUAGAUUAUACUAUUAAACCAACCACCCACUCAACCCUAGGGGACCACUAUUAAUUUAACCGGGGACCACUAUCAUCCUAACCGCACAUCCUUUCAUCCAAU
RNAcentral lists this long non-coding RNA (6237 nucleotides) under Ananas comosus (pineapple). RNAcentral describes it as "long non-coding RNA (ACOM_LNC009753)". Lineage: Eukaryota; Viridiplantae; Streptophyta; Magnoliopsida; Poales; Bromeliaceae. The record is from RNAcentral.